GGGCCAGUAGCUCAGUGGUAGAGCACUCUAUCAGUGUAUGGAAGGUCCUAGGUUCAAUUCCUAGUUGGUCCA
This is a non-coding RNA of Cryptomeria japonica (Japanese cedar), 72 nucleotides long. The record is from the annotation of a RefSeq genome assembly. Lineage: Eukaryota; Viridiplantae; Streptophyta; Pinopsida; Cupressales; Cupressaceae.